This 346-nucleotide long non-coding RNA is filed under the name Helianthus annuus (common sunflower). Its description in RNAcentral is "sRNA HanXRQr2_Chr10g0427851". The record is from RNAcentral. Lineage: Eukaryota; Viridiplantae; Streptophyta; Magnoliopsida; Asterales; Asteraceae.
UUUAUUUUCAAAACAUGUUCAUUUAUUUAUUUACAUUGAGCCACUUUUCUAAGCUGGGAGUGCUCCACGACACUUUUCUUUGCUCAUACCAGAUCACCUGAAACAUGUUUGAAAAAGGUUUUGUCAGCGGGGAAAUACUGAUUUACUGAAGACACAUUUGUUAUAAUCUACAGUAUUAAGGGGAAUUACAAUGUUUCUGAUAUCAAACCAACUACCCACAAUAUUUGUCACUCGACCAUCCAUUGGCUAGCCCAUUUGUCCAAUGGUGUCUGUGACUGUGGUCAGAUCACCCCUUGGCCACCCGUUUGUCCAAGUGUGACGGGAAAUAAGUAAUGUAUACAAAACC